UUAAAUUUUAGAUUAUUAGUAUUAAUUACCUUAGGGAUAACAGCAUAAUUUUUUUUUGAAGAUCAUAUUUAUAAAAAAGAUUAUGACCUCGAUGUUGAAUUAAGAUAAUAUUUUGGUGCAGAAUUUAAAAUAUAAAGUCUGUUCGA
This 146-nucleotide ribosomal RNA is filed under the name Paurocephala bifasciata. RNAcentral's name for it is "partial large subunit ribosomal RNA". The record is from RNAcentral. Lineage: Eukaryota; Metazoa; Arthropoda; Insecta; Hemiptera; Liviidae.